AACAGGAUUAGAUACCCUGGUAGUCCACGCUGUAAACGAUGUCGACUUGGAGGUUGUGCCCUUGAGGCGUGGCUUCCGGAGCUAACGCGUUAAGUCGACCGCCUGGGGAGUACGGCCGCAAGGUUAAAACUCAAAUGAAUUGACGGGGGCCCGCACAAGCGGUGGAGCAUGUGGUUUAAUUCGAUGCAACGCGAAGAACCUUACCUACUCUUGACAUCCAGAGAAUUUGCUAGAGAUAGCUUAGUGCCUUCGGGAACUCUGAGACAGGUGCUGCAUGGCUGUCGUCAGCUCGUGUUGUGAAAUGUUGGGUUAAGUCCCGCAACGAGCGCAACCCUUAUCCUUUGUUGCCAGCACGUAAUGGUGGGAACUCAAAGGAGACUGCCGGUGAUAAACCGGAGGAAGGUGGGGAUGACGUCAAGUCAUCAUGGCCCUUACGAGUAGGGCUACACACGUGCUACAAUGGCAUAUACAAAGAGAAGCGAACUCGCGAGAGCAAGCGGACCUCAUAAAGUAUGUCGUAGUCCGGAUUGGAGUCUGCAACUCGACUCCAUGAAGUCGGAAUCGCUAGUAAUCGUAGAUCAGAGUGCUACGGUGAAUACGUUCCCGGGCCUUGUACACACCGCCCGUCACACCAUGGGAGUGGGUUGCAAAAGAAGUAGGUAGCUUAACCUUCGGGAGGGCGCUUACCACUUUGUGAUUCAUGACUGGGGUGAAGUCGUAACAAGGUAACC
Molecule: ribosomal RNA, 731 nt
Filed under: uncultured bacterium
Lineage: Bacteria
Description: bacterial SSU rRNA
Rfam family: Bacterial small subunit ribosomal RNA
Source: RNAcentral